Molecule: ribosomal RNA, 1372 nt
Filed under: uncultured bacterium
Lineage: Bacteria
Description: bacterial SSU rRNA
Rfam family: Bacterial small subunit ribosomal RNA
Source: RNAcentral
GAUGAACGCUGGCGGCGUGCCUAAUACAUGCAAGUCGAGCGAACGGACGAGAAGCUUGCUUUUCUGAUGUUAGCGGCGGACGGGUGAGUAACACGUGGAUAACCUACCUAUAAGACUGGGAUAACUUCGGGAAACCGGAGCUAAUACCGGAUAAUAUUUUGAACCGCAUGGUUCAAAAGUGAAAGACGGUCUUGCUGUCACUUAUAGAUGGAUCCGCGCUGCAUUAGCUAGUUGGUAAGGUAACGGCUUACCAAGGCAACGAUGCAUAGCCGACCUGAGAGGGUGAUCGGCCACACUGGAACUGAGACACGGUCCAGACUCCUACGGGAGGCAGCAGUAGGGAAUCUUCCGCAAUGGGCGAAAGCCUGACGGAGCAACGCCGCGUGAGUGAUGAAGGUCUUCGGAUCGUAAAACUCUGUUAUUAGGGAAGAACAUAUGUGUAAGUAACUGUGCACAUCUUGACGGUACCUAAUCAGAAAGCCACGGCUAACUACGUGCCAGCAGCCGCGGUAAUACGUAGGUGGCAAGCGUUAUCCGGAAUUAUUGGGCGUAAAGCGCGCGUAGGCGGUUUUUUAAGUCUGAUGUGAAAGCCCACGGCUCAACCGUGGAGGGUCAUUGGAAACUGGAAAACUUGAGUGCAGAAGAGGAAAGUGGAAUUCCAUGUGUAGCGGUGAAAUGCGCAGAGAUGUGGAGGAACACCAGUGGCGAAGGCGACUUUCUGGUCUGUAACUGACGCUGAUGUGCGAAAGCGUGGGGAUCAAACAGGAUUAGAUACCCUGGUAGUCCACGCCGUAAACGAUGAGUGCUAAGUGUUAGGGGGUUUCCGCCCCUUAGUGCUGCAGCUAACGCAUUAAGCACUCCGCCUGGGGAGUACGACCGCAAGGUUGAAACUCAAAGGAAUUGACGGGGGCCCGCACAAGCGGUGGAGCAUGUGGUUUAAUUCGAAGCAACGCGAAGAGCCUUACCAAAUCUUGACAUCCUUUGACAACUCUAGAGAUAGAGCCUUCCCCUUCGGGGGACAAAGUGACAGGUGGUGCAUGGUUGUCGUCAGCUCGUGUCGUGAGAUGUUGGGUUAAGUCCCGCAACGAGCGCAACCCUUAAGCUUAGUUGCCAUCAUUAAGUUGGGCACUCUAAGUUGACUGCCGGUGACAAACCGGAGGAAGGUGGGGAUGGCGUCAAAUCAUCAUGCCCCUUAUGAUUUGGGCUACACACGUGCUACAAUGGACAAUACAAAGGGCAGCGAAACCGCGAGGUCAAGCAAAUCCCAUAAAGUUGUUCUCAGUUCGGAUUGUAGUCUGCAACUCGACUACAUGAAGCUGGAAUCGCUAGUAAUCGUAGAUCAGCAUGCUACGGUGAAUACGUUCCCGGGUCU